Long non-coding RNA from Gallus gallus (chicken), 8400 nucleotides. The record is from Ensembl. NCBI's taxonomy places the organism in Eukaryota, Metazoa, Chordata, Aves, Galliformes, Phasianidae.
ACCCACUCCGCUCCCGCUGCGGGGCCGGCAUAGUGCGGCGCAACGCUCGCUUGGUGACCGGCGCCGUGCAUCUCCGGGCAGGGCUGCGGCAUCCCGACAGGAUGCCCUCCCCGAGCCCUGGCGCAGAACGUUCUGCGGGACAACCCUGUCAAGAGGGUCCUCGGGACGGGAGGGGCGGGGAAGCAAGCUGAGGUACGCCGCACAUCCUGGAGAUCAGAAUUGCUUCCCAAGUGUUUUCCAGUGUAACGUCCGGCUUCCAGCGAUUUGCGGGAAUUUGUCUCCUUUCCCUCCCCUUUUGCGGUGCUUUAUGCCGGAAACAGAGAGGUGUCUGAGGGGCUUGUCUGACCCUGUGAUCCACUUUGCAGGACUACGGUUCAAACGAGAGCCGUGCUUCCCUCCUGGCAUCCGCUCCCCAGGAAGCGGGACGCACCCGUCGCUGCACGACCAUCCUGCAGUCCUUCCCACCGUGGCGGUGCCGACGCUCUGGCACCGCCUGGGUUUGGAGCUCUCUGAGCCGUGGUGCUGGGUGUUUUGACUGUGGGAAUGCUAGUAAACCUGUUCACCACAGUGCUGUAAUUGCCUCUACUGGUGGCGUUAGGCAAUGAAAUCAGACAGUGGUGAGAGAUUUCCUCUGGACGUUCAUUUCAACCUCUGUAGAAAUUCUCUUCAGUCAAAAUGGAGAUCAUAGGAUCAUAGAAUUCUUAGAAUUGGAAGGGGCCACCGAAGGCCAACUCUCCUGCAACGAACAGGGACACCAAAUUUCUGCCUUUAUAAUUAGCAGUGAUAAUGUUUCUUACAGGAUCUCUCUAAAUCAUACUUGAUUGCUACGAACUCUUAAAAUUAGUCCUGUUCAUUAGGAGAGAGGUAAAAGAAUCUAGAAAGUAACUGCAGAAAAGGCUCUGGGGGUCUUGCUGGACACCAAGUUGAACAUGAGCCAGCAACGUGCCCUUGCAGCAAAGAAGGCCAAUGAUAUCCUGGGCUGCAUCAGGAGUAUUGCCAGCCAGCUGAGGAAGGUGAUCCUUGGCCUUUGCUCAGCACUUGUGAGGCUAUACCUAGAGUUCUGUGUCCAGUUCUGGUCUCCCCAGUAUGAGGAACAUUAUGAAGAGAGUUGAAGAUGAUGGAGGUCCUGGAGCACUCCUCCUCUGAGGAAAGGCUGAAAGAGCUGGGAGUGCUUAGUCUGGAGAGAAGGCAGCUCAGAAGAGGUCUCACCAGUGUCUGUAAAUACCUACAGGGAGGAUUUGGAGAAGACAGAACCACUCUAAUAGUGUGCAAGACAACCUUCUAACAGUGCCAGGACACUUCAUAAAUGUGCCAGGACAAAAAGCACUGGGCAAAAAUUGGAAUACAGAGGGCUCCAUCCAAACACCGGGGAGCACUUCUGUGCUGUGCAGGUGAUGGAGCACUGGCACACGUCACCCAGAGAGGCUGUGGAGUCUCCUCCUUGGAGAUCUUGGAGAAGCUGCCUGGACAUGGGCCUGAGCAGCUUGCUCUCAGUGUCCUGCUCUUGAGCAGGAGUUGGACCAGGUGGACCAAGAAACCCCUACCAGCCUCAAACAUUCAGUGGUUCUGUUAUUCUGGGAUGUGAUAAUUUAGUAGAAUCGCAGAAUGGUUUGGAUUAGGGUUGGAAAGGACCUUAAAGAUCAUCCAGUUCCGGUUCAUAGCAGGGGGGUUGGGCUACCCAGGGUUCCAUCCAAUUUGUCUUUGAACAUUUCCAGGGAUGGGGCAUCCACAGCUUUUCUGGUCAGCCUGUGUCAGCGCCUUGCCAUCCUUUCAGUAAAAAUAUUCUUCCUUAUAUUCAGUCUAAAUCUACCCCCUUUUAGUUUUAAAACCAUUGUCCCUCGUUUUGUCAUUACUGGCCCUGGUAAAACAAGCAACCAAACAAAAAACAACACCCUUUCUUCACCUUUCUCGUAGGCCCCAUCCAAAUACUGGAAAGCCACAGUCAGCUCUCCUUGGAUCUUUCUCUUCUCCACACUGAACAAGCGCAACUCCCUCAGCCUUUGUAGGAGAGGUGCUCCAGUCCUCUAGCUACCUUCAUGACCCUUCUCUGGAUUUGCCUUUGUAGAUCCGUGUCUCUUUUGUUCUGCAGCUCCUGGAGUUGGAUGGGCCAGCCCUUGUAGGUUCGGUCAGUAUGUGGGAACAAGUAAGAAACAGAGGGUUUAAACACAUUAAUUUCCUUUCAUAAUUUUGGCUGCUGUUAAGUAAUAUUUUUGUACUGGUUCUCGUGUGUUCACCAGUGGAAGGGGCUGGGUUCUGCAGCUCACUUCCUUAAUGCUUUCAGGUUUUCAAAUAUCAAUUCAUAACCUUAACGAAAAAGACAGAUGCAAAAUGAAUGUGCCUGUGCUUGCGCAUAUCACAUUAUCACACAUUUCACAUUAUCUCUGGUCAUCUCUGGUCACAAGAGAGAGACUAAAAGGGCUUAUUUUGCCCUUAAUCCAUCCCUUAGUUCCUCUGUUUUUCUAGAUGAGAUACCUUGUUCUAGAAAGUUUCAUCUCAGAAAGAUAUAUUCUAAAAUAACAUGCUAGAAGAUCUUGUUUUGUGUUCUGUUUGUACCUACACUUACCCCUGUUUAGUAAUAAUUAGGUCAGAGCAUAGUUCAGGCCGAUGAAAUGCUUUUCUCCUUAAGUCAACCAUCUACCUUCAUGGUCACUCUUUUUUUUUUUUUUUUUUAAUGCUUGUUUUAGAGUUAGCCUUCAGUGAGAUAAAGUAAAAUAUUUUUAGUCAGUUUUAUUUGGUAAGCAAUUCUGACUUGACUGAAUUAAGCUAAAGUUUGCGGCAAGUCAACAAAGCUAACUUUAUUUUAUAUAUUUAAUUAUUUUACUGGGAGAGCCAAGGAGGUUUUAGAUAUCUUGAGAAGCAAAUGGACAAUUAAACUCUACAGAAAUUCAAAAUUGCCUGCUGAUUCUCAGUGCUAAGCAAACAUAAGCUCUAAUUUCUCUUCUUUUUUUUUCCUGAUAUUCUGUUCCUGUGCUCACACUCAGACAUUUAGAUCUUCAUACACAGAAGCACUUGGUUUGUAUAUCUACCUAGAUUUUGGGCCCUGCUAAGAACACCAAGGCAGCUGUAGCCACGCCACCAAGCCCAUCUUGCUGCCUGUGACAGUGGCCUGGGGAAGGACUUGACACCCCCUACAAACAUUUUCCAGACCUUUGGCUUGUUUGCAGCUUGGAGGCUCUCUGAUACUUUCGCACUUGUUUGCAAAAUGCCAACGAGCCCAGAGACCAGAGUUCAGAUCUCACCUAGACCCAAGUCAGUGUUCUGAGGACAAGGCUUACUCAUUCAAAGUCAAAUGGCUUAAUAAAGGAGGGUGGAGGCUAUGUUCUCCAGACUGCCUGAGCACUUGGCUCCAAGCUGAGAGCUGUGGGUACGAAUCCCUGCUGGAAAUCUGGACCUGCAGUGCUUUCAGCGCUGAUCUGCUGGAGUCAGCCACACCUUGCAGCACCUCAGAGAUGGGUCCCAGCCUGGGCCUAGCUGAAUUUCUUCUUGGUUGCCUAAAAUGUGAUUCUCUACUCAGUGGACUCAUUUUGACAGCCUUUCCAAGGCUGUCAGUACAAGGCAAACAAAAUCAUGCCUUGCCCUUGAUUCUGAGAUGGUUGAAUUGCAGGUCAGCUCCAGUGUUGGGCUAUUAUCACAGUGCUAAAUUUGAUCUGGUGAGUCCUGCUGGGGUAAAGAGGAUAUUAGUUCAUGCUCACUCUGCUGACGUGGCUGCGCAAUUUCUGGUCAGCAGUACAAGAAGCACAAGAGCGAGGCUGUGUAGCAUAGCCUGAGGUAUCUAACUCUUCUGUCAUGACGUAUGAAGCCUAAAGUGCAUACCUCAGAGCUCUAGCUCCCACACGUCUAUGAGAAGUGUGCAGAUAUAGUCACAUACAUAGCAUGAUGCGUCACCAUUGCCUCAGUAAUCUGCAAAGCAGGUUAUUGUCAAAGCUAAUGUUCAGGGCCAAGAGAGUUGUCACUGCGGUUACUUACACUGAUGCAUGCACCAGAGAUCUGUCUUUUCUUUUUCUUCCUUUUUUUUUUUUUUUCUUUUUUUUUUCUUCCCAUAGUCACCACAUAAUUUCCACCCAGUCUUCUCAAAUCUUAAUGCUCUGUUCAAAUACGUGCUUUGUGUGCCUCUGGUUUCACCAUGGUGGAUUGUCAUGCGUGGCAGCACUGCAGACUUGUGUAGUUGAAUGUGUAGAGAAAAAGCUGUAAAGAGAACAGAAAAAAGCAUGAACAACGAUGUCAGUUAGUAGAAUUUAAUUAUAACUUAGAAGCAAAGCUAGUUGACUGAGCUUGUGUUAAACGGGUUUGGAGAACCAGGUGAUCUAAUAGCUCUUUGAUUUUUCAGGUAAGAAACUAGUGAAGGACGUGAUUCUCUUAAGAGCACGUGCUCCUCCUCUUCACUGUGGCUAAUUUUGUAUCUCUGUGACUAUUUCUAUGUAUUUUGCUUGUCUGAAAUCUACUGACAACAGUAAUUAGGUGAAUACUACUUUUUUUUUUUUCUUGGUGCGUGUGUUACAAAGGGCAAUACUGAAUCAGAGAGAAGACAUAUCUUGCUAAGGUUCUGAGCUCCAAGAGUAAGUCAAAGACUUCAAGAUUAGCUAUUUAUGUGCUACUUGGACUUUCAAGUAACCUUUUUUUCACUCAGAAGGGCAGUUAGGCCACCAUUAUGUUGUUCUAGCUGACUCCAAACCCACUUAUCCACUUCAAGGUAUGAAAUGAUCAAAUCUUAGAAUGAGUGCAGCAGUCAAAACACCAAGUUUUUGGUGUCUCUACUCUGCUCAAAUAAUGGCACUGACGUUUUAAAUGAAAUAGUUUGACAGCUAUGAAGGUUUGUUUUUCAGGUGGAGCAGCUUAGCAGGGUAGCUGCAAGGGAAUUUUGCAGGAUGGAUCAGAGAGUAGUACUUCCAGCACCAAGGCCAUCUGCUGGCAUUGUCACUGUAAUACUGUCUGAGGAGCAACUAUCGUUACUACAGAUAUAUAGUAUGAAAUAAUCUUACUGUUAAGGAGAGAGAGACAGAAGAAAACUAUUAUUUAGGCUUGCUUAAUUUUUGAAGCUCCCCUCAACUUUUUGAGCUUCAGCCUUACCCUGACAAAGAAACUCCCAUCACAGCUGUAUGUGAGUCAGAAGUCCGGGUAUAUUUAGCUAAUGCUUGUAGAAGUUGCGCCACCUGGAGCCAGUUACACAGAACGGAAAAUACCAAAUGUUUUCUAAUGACCUGUGAUGAAAACAUACAUUUUGCCUGUCCAAGUAAAGCUUGAAGACAGCAAAGCGUGUUCCUGCUGCUUGCAAGAAGAGAAUUAUAAUAAAAUUAGCACUUUGUCGCUGCCAGCAUUUCAUAUGGAGUUCUUUAUAAAUAUUCAUAUAAAUGACCCAUCUUGCUAAUUAAGUAGUUGUCUCUAUACAGAGAAUGGUACUUCGUGGUAUGCAAUGGGUGUUAAUCUCCCCCCAGAAGUUAAGUACAAGGCGCUUUUAUGGUCUGUGAUCUUAACUGUGCUAGGAGCUUCAUUCAGAUACAUAACUUGUCCUGCCUAGAAUUCAGAGUAAGAUCAAACGAUAAAGGUCAACCUCAGUAAACAUUUGCCCAUAGAAAUGGCAUUAAAUAGCUAUGGUGUUCCUCCUCAUAUCCAUCAUGCUGUGUUUUGUGGAAGACUGAACUGAAAUUCAAUUUGCCUGUUGAUGUUUACACCAGCAGCUGUUUUGAGAAUUUCAGCAUUCAUUUCAUCAAGCAAGUAAAUAUUUACUACUCUGUUUCUCCCAAAGCAGCAAUGGCUAUUAAAUGAUAACAAAAGAAGUUGUGGUAUUUGUGCAGAAAUGAAUAAAUCUCCAAUUUUUCUCCCAGGAGUCACCUGACGAGGCAGAAAAAGUGAUUAAAUGUGCAUUUAAGCAUAUUUACAUGGAUGCACACCUUUGAGAAGCCUACUCUGUGGUAGUUAAGAAUCACAGAUGUUGAUUGCAGUGCCUACCUUGUUCUGUUACAACUGCUAUUUCUGUUGACAAAAAAGGCGAGUGCAGGUUAUAGCUUUUAGUUUCCAUUAGUACAUGUAAAAGAGACCGAUGUGAAGAAGUCUGUUCUUCCUUUUGUUUAUAUAAGGGUUUGCUCACUUUCAGUGUGCUGUACCAGAGAAAGUCCACAGAGAACAGUAAUACUCAGCAGGUGCCAAUAAGGACAGAAUCGGAGAGCUAAUUUAAUCUGCUUCUCAGGUUGCUGAAGGUAGCAGCUGGAAUUCCACUAAUUAUCUCCUUCCCAUCUUAGCUUAUAAAGUAAGUGCACCUUAUGGAAUAAGUAGAAAGUAUUCAUUAUUUCCAACAGAUGAAAAUUAUGUUUUAUCCUAAACAAUUGUUAAGAGACCCCAAGCGUGCAUAGUUGCCACUGAGAAGUUUAUAUAUGGGAAAUAACAUGGAGCGUAUUCACUUUGUUAUACUUACGUGUCGAGAUACAAACCUUAGUUUUAGGGGAUUUCAAUCCACUGUUCUUGUAACUACAUUUUUUUUUCUUUUUUAAAUCACAUUUAGUUAUCAUAAAGACCUUUGGUUUCAGUCAGAUUGUUUAAAAGAGACCGCUACACUUAAUAACUGAUAUUAUUUUGUGGUGGAAUAAUCUGUCCUCCAAGAACGUAAAAGAUGUGGAAACACUCUCAUAAAAUAUAAUGCCAGUUCAAGCCAGUAUUUCUCUUCUUAUGAGUGGUGAAUACUGGAAGAAUGACAAACACUACUGGCCUUAUCUGGAUCACAGUACUGCUGAUCUAAAUCACAUAUACAGUGCCCUCCAGUUGUGUUAGGUAUGCAGGAAUGCAGAGCCUCUUAGCAGUGGUUAAAGUCCUCCCUUUGGGAAACAGCUCCCUCAAGUAUUCUCUCAAAGCCUGGCACAUACAUUCCUGGGCAGUUUUUCUGUAGUCACCAUGUCCGUUGAUCUCUUGAUACCAUCCCAUGGAUUUGGGUUGUUUGUCCAACUAGUUCUGUGUUUGCAUAAUGUUUUCGCCACUUCCCAGGAUGAUUUGAACCUCUGUGAAAAUGUGGUACAAUCCUCAGAAUUUACUUAAUAUACCAGGCAUCUCACGUUAACAACCUUUUUGUAGUGUUGCACAAUAGAUAUACAAUGCAAUUUAUUUGUAGGCAGUACAAAUAAGAAAAUAAUAAGCAUCAUUCUUGAUUAUUUUAUUUAUUUUUUUAAUUUAAAUUUUUUUCUCCCCAGAAAGAGCAUAUAGUAAAAAAAAAGAAGUCUACUAGGACAAAUAGAAAAAGGGGCCUAGUUCUCCAAAUUAUUCCCUUAAGUUAUUCUGUUACUACCUGCCAUUCUGGCUGUAAUCAGUUUUAGAUGAAGUCAAUAGCCAAAGAAAUACCACAAAUUAAUUUAUUGAUGACAUUCUUGUUCACUGACUGAUGUUAAUUGACCAUCAAAAGAAUAAAUGUAUGGAAUCCUCAGAAGAAACAUAUCUGUUUAUUUUCAGUUUUCUUAUUGCUCUUCGAAAAUACAUGAUAUCUUACAGCAUCAGCAGAAGGUGGGCUUCUUUUCUCAUACUUACUUUAGAGAUAGUCACUGAAAGUGAAAUAACUUGUGAUGUGAUGAACUCCAUUACACCCUGGGUAUUGCUGCUGGUGAGUGGAUGACUUACAGGAUUAUUAACAGAGUCAAUCUCCUGAUGAUCCAAGCAGACAUUUUUAUUUGCUAACAAAAUGCAGUAAUGGAAAGAACUAUGAGAAAGCUGGAGGAAUUUGCCUAGUGGCUAACAGGACUUGAGCAUACACCUUAAACUUAUUUUAUAGAGGUAGUGCAAUAAAUAAGUAAAUAAAUAUGCAUAUAUACAUAUAUAUAUAUCCUAGCGUAUGUUCAUAUUUGACCAAAAGCUAUUUUCAGGUUAUGGUAUUUCUCAUUUGGGAAAUGAAGGUACUUGCAAUCCACCAUCCCCUGGUCUCUGAGAAGUGACCCAGCCUGAUGCAUAUAUAUCCAUCCUGCUUCAUUCCACCACUCCUUUCUAAGCCAGCAGCCUAAUAAUGAAGCUCUUCAUGAGACUGUGAAGCCAGUACCAGCAACAAUGAGUCUUCAUUAUUCCUGGAGAAGACUGGGGUGUUUGAUAUGCAUGAAGCUUUGUGCAGAUAGCUACGACUAUAAACUGCCAUUUGUUACUGUCAAACAAAUAAGUGUUACAACUAUUUAGAAGUGUUGCUCUUCUCUAGCAAGGGAUUUAUACUUGAAAAAUAAAACAAAAACUAAUUAGUACCUUAUCUUUUUUUUUUCCACCGAAAUGAAUGGAUUUUGGCUGAUGAACGGAAAUCUUGUUCCCUGUUACUGCUUACUCAAUGGGGUUGGAAAUGAUAAAGAAUUGGAUUGAUAUAAGUAACUGAGAUACUUACCUGUGACCUGAGACCUAGUCUGACGAAUCUUUUAGCUAUUUGCACAUAGAUACCAUGUUUGUAAA